This 496-nucleotide ribosomal RNA is filed under the name uncultured bacterium. RNAcentral's name for it is "partial 16S ribosomal RNA". It matches the Rfam family "Bacterial small subunit ribosomal RNA", at positions 28 to 507 of the family's 1533-position model. The record is from RNAcentral.
GAUGAACGCUGGCGGCGUGCCUAAUACAUGCAAGUUGAGCGCUGAGAUUAGGUGCUUGUACCAAUUGGGUUAGCGGCGGACGGGUGAGUAACGCGUGGAUAAUCUGCCUUUGAGACGGGGACAACAUCGGGAAACGAAUGCUAAUACCGCAUAAUAAAUUUAACCACAUGAUUCAAGAGUGAAAGAUGCCAUUGCAGCACUCAAAAGUGAGCCCGCGUGGUAUUAGGUAGUUGGGAAGGAAAAGGCUUACCAAGGCAACGUUCGGUAGCCGACCUGAGAGGGUGAUCGGCCAAACUGGAACUGAGACACGGCCAAGACUCCUACGGAAGGAAGAAGUGGGGAAUCUUGGCCAAUGGGCGAAGGCCUGCCGGAGCACGGCGGGGUGGUUGAGGAAGGUCUUCGGUUGGUAAAACCCGUUUGUAGGGAAGGAACAGAUGUAGAAUUAAAAGCGCAUGUAUUGACGGUACCUAACCAGAAAGCCACGGCUAACUACGUG